Long non-coding RNA from Pan troglodytes (chimpanzee), 2122 nucleotides. RefSeq lists it as uncharacterized. NCBI's taxonomy places the organism in Eukaryota, Metazoa, Chordata, Mammalia, Primates, Hominidae. The transcript is spliced from 2 exons. The record is from RefSeq and is a predicted model, not a curated record.
CAAGCAGUUGUCAGUGGGUCUUGUAGUUAGUAGAUACUUCUUCCUCUCCCCACACCAACGCUUAUUGGGCCGUCCUUUCCCAGCUCUAAAGCUGAGAACCCUGCCCUUUUGUGCUCCUCUGGCCUAGGCCUGCUGGCAGCAGCAGCUCCACACUUCUGCCUGGAGGGCAAGAAAAGGAGGGGCUUGAGGGUGAGGGGACUCACAGAGUUGGAGGGGCAUGCCACUUUGCCCAUUUGCUUAUUUCAUCGGUGAUUCAUUUUUCUUUCAUGAGAGAAGGAAAAACGAGAGGAGAGAGUGAAGGUAAAAAGGAAGUUCUGCAGCCCUGGAAGAAUGUCUGAGGGACAUUCUGAUUCAGGAGUUUAUAGCUUGGGCAGGGUUGGCACUGCUACUCACAUGAUACAUAAGAACCAGGCUGAUGAGUUGAAAAUUAGCUUCUGUUUUGAUUUUGUCCCAGAAUACAAAAACAUUCACUUUCCUUGAUAGAAAGCAGAGUUGAGAAGACUUUCUAUCUGGCAAUAUUUAUAAACUUUAUGGGAUCCUUACAUAAUGAGAUGAAACGAAGUUUUAUUAUCUUAAUGGCUGUUGCUUAGAAAUGUUUUGGGACCCCGCGGGCUUGAGUGUUUCUUGGCCACAAAACUUCAAAGUAUAAUGUAAAACUGGCUUGCACUGGAUAUGAGAGAAAUUCACAUUUUGCUCUGAGGAUAAAGGGAGAAGAUAGACAAGAAGAGAAGAAAUGCAAGGAGGAGGAAGACAGAGCAUGGAGCCAAGUGGACAGAGGAGAGGACCAGGUGCGGGUACUGGCAGGUGAAGCAUGCAGUCAUGGGGACGGCUGAGGCUGUGCGAGAGGCAUGGUGCUGCUUUUGUGACUUAUGGAAAAAAUCCCUCUCUACUUUGAGAUCAUAUUCUUCUUUUUUUAUAUACAAUUGUAAUCUGAUCCGGGCUGAAAAACGAAGUAUAGCAGUUUAAAUAGCAGGAAGUAGUCAACAACUCAUUAUAAAAGCAACGGAAAACACGGAAAUGUGCAUCAGAAAGUCCCACCGGUUUCUCCCAAGUGUUUAACCUUGAGAAGAUCACUGAACUUCUCUGUAAAGCAGGCAAUAUGUGUCCCUGUGUUUCUCACCGGUUGGAUGGUAAGCCCUGAACACAUAUCAAGUAGGGUUGCUAUUCAUGUGGCCUGCCCUCAGCUGCUAUUGUAUUCUUGUCCUCUGGGAUUUUCUGGACUUGUAAAACCUCAAGCUGCAAUUAAAACACCAUCCUCCACACCCUAGGCCAGAAUGCCUGGGCUCACCUGGGUGACUCAGCUGAGACAUGGCAAAAAAACACUCAAAACUUUGAAUCUGAGCCGGCUUCUUUCAUUCAAGUAAGGGCCAGUUCACAGAGCCCCUCCAAGGGAGAUGGUGCUUGGAGUAGGGAGGUAGGAAAAGGUUGAUAUAGUUUGGUUCUGUGCCUCCACCCAAAUCUCAUCUCCUGUUAGGGAGGGGCCUGGUAGGAGGUGAUUGGAUCAUGCGGGCAGUUUCCCCCAUGCUGUUCUCAUGAUAGUGAGUGAGUUCUCACAAGAUCUGAUGGUUUUAAAGUGUGGCACUUCCCACCUUGCUCUUUCUCUCUAUGGCCACCAUGUAAGAUGUGCCUUGCUUCCCGUCACCAUUUUAAGUUUCCUGAGGCCUCCCCAGCCAUGCAGAACUAUGAGUCAAUUAAACCUCUUUCCUUUGUAACUUACCCAGUCUCAGGUAGCUCUUUGUAGCAGUGUGAAAAUGGACUAAUACAGGGGUCCACAAUGAAGUCCUGGAUUCCUCAGAGGGAGGAGUGGGGAGAAAUGAAAUAUUAGUCCGCACUCUCUCCCUCAGUGAGAUUCCUGUAGGUUUUCUGGAGUAACUGAUCAGGACUAAGUCUAGAAAAAUUGGAAAUAGAAGAAAUGAAAUUUGUUUUGAACUGAACUUCAGUUUUGCUAUUCUGCAACUCUUAGUUCCUUUUUUGAUGCUCUUUCUCUUUCUCCCAUGUCAUGCUCAUAGUACUCCCACCCCCACCACCAAUCUCUCCUAUUCUGCCUACCAAAACUUGCACUUGGAACAGCAUCUGGCCUAGAAGGCCUCAAUAAAUGUGGCUAUUAUUAGCAAAGAAUAAA